Molecule: ribosomal RNA, 423 nt
Filed under: uncultured bacterium
Lineage: Bacteria
Description: bacterial SSU rRNA
Rfam family: Bacterial small subunit ribosomal RNA
Source: RNAcentral
UGCCAGCAGCCGCGGUAAUACGUAGGGUGCAAACAUUAUCCGGAUUUAUUGGGCGUAAAGAGCUCGUAGGUGGUUUGAAAAGUCGAGUAUGAAAGACCCGGGCCCAACUCGGGGAACGUACUCGAAACUUUCUGACUAGAGGUAUGCAGGGGAAGAUGGAACACACGGUGUAGCAGUGAAAUGCGUAGAUAUCGUGUGGAACGCCAAUGGUGAAGACAGUCUUCUGGGCAUUACCUGACACUGAGGAGCGAAAGCGUGGGGAGCGAACGGGAUUAGAUACCCCGGUAGUCCACGCCGUAAACGAUGCAUGCUAGGAAUUUGGAGAAUCGACCCUCUGAGCUUCGAAGCUAACGCGUUAAGCAUGCCGCCUGGGUAGUACGGCCGCAAGGUUAAAACUCAAAGGAAUUGACGGGGGCCCGCACA